CUCAUUCUGUCGUACACCUCUCGUAACCCUACCGAGCUGCCGAAUGAAAUCCCCGUUUUCUUCUCCUUUUCUGUUCCUUUUUCUUCCCUUUCCCUUUGAUUGUCUUCCCCUUUUCCGAUCUCUUCUCCUUCCUCUUCACUCUUAACCAAAAUGAAACAUUUUCCUCCCUUUUUCGAAGCAUCGAGUCGUGUUCGUCUUCGGCCCACGUCCUAUUCUCUCUUAUUCUUUUGUUCAUGCCUUUGAAUCCCAUUUUCGUUUUGCGAUGGUUGCGUUUCGACGCUGCCUCCGAAACGGUUCGAUCAAAAUCCUUCUUCUGUUUUUGUUAACCAGUUGUGAUGCAUGUCGUUACCUAUGAAACGUUUCUCAUCCUCUCUCCAUCUUUCCAUACGCUUGGUCUUCCGAUGAACCCUUGUCGAUCCUAAAAUGAGUUUAUUGCACUUUUCUUUCCACGAAACAGCCAUUACGGUGACAGAUGCUACACUAAAAUAGUGAAAGGAAUCGAAGUAGGGGCAUGGUGGAGCAUGGUAAGGGUCUUCGGUCUACUCCGAAGGAAUUUCUUAACUCUGAGGCUACUUUCUUUCCCUUUCAUUAUCUAACGCUUCUGUUAUUUAUUGGUAUUUUACAUGCAUUUGUAAGGUUCUCCUUGCAGUUAAGGUUGUCGCACUUAAACAAUUCGUAAACGAGGUAGUACGGCUAUAAACCUUUUUCAUUUAUAUAGUCGGUUCUUUGUGUGGUCUACUUAAUUGAAUUUUGUAAUAAAUUCAUUUCUUUCCUUCGUCUUAAUGUUUGUUUAUUAAAAGCUUUGUAUAAAUUAUGUAAAUUAAUUGUUAUUUGCUUACUAUGUUAUUUGCUUACUAUGUACAAUUAUAAUUUUGUUUAUUAAUUCAUUUGCAUACUAC
Molecule: long non-coding RNA, 899 nt
Organism: Cucumis melo (muskmelon)
Lineage: Eukaryota; Viridiplantae; Streptophyta; Magnoliopsida; Cucurbitales; Cucurbitaceae
Exons: 3
Source: RefSeq, a predicted model, not a curated record